AGCGAACGCUGGCGGCAGGCCUAACACAUGCAAGUCGAACGAACUCUUCGGAGUUAGUGGCGGACGGGUGAGUAACACGUGGGAACGUGCCUUUUGGUUCGGAAUAACUCAGGGAAACUUGUGCUAAUACCGAAUGUGCCCUUCGGGGGAAAGAUUUAUCGCAUUAGAGCGGCCCGCGUCUGAUUAGCUAGUUGGUGAGGUAACGGCUCACCAAGGCGACGAUCAGUAGCUGGUCUGAGAGGAUGACCAGCCACACUGGGACUGAGACACGGCCCAGACUCCUACGGGAGGCAGCAGUGGGGAAUCUUGCGCAAUGGGCGAAAGCCUGACGCAGCCAUGCCGCGUGAAUGAUGAAGGUCUUAGGAUUGUAAAAUUCUUUCACCGGGGACGAUAAUGACGGUACCCGGAGAAGAAGCCCCGGCUAACUUCGUG
RNAcentral lists this ribosomal RNA (432 nucleotides) under uncultured bacterium. RNAcentral's name for it is "partial 16S ribosomal RNA". It matches the Rfam family "Bacterial small subunit ribosomal RNA", at positions 29 to 507 of the family's 1533-position model. The record is from RNAcentral.